ACGGGAGGCAGCAGUGGGGAAUAUUGGACAAUGGGGGAAACCCUGAUCCAGCGACGCCGCGUGAGUGAAGAAGUAUUUCGGUAUGUAAAGCUCUAUCAGCAAGGAAGAAAAUGACGGUACUUGACUAAGAAGCCCCGGCUAACUACGUGCCAGCAGCCGCGGUAAUACGUAGGGGGCAAGCGUUAUCCGGAUUUACUGGGUGUAAAGGGAGCGUAGACGGAAGGCCAAGUCUGAUGUGAAAACCCAGGGCUCAACCCUGGGACUGCAUUGGAAACUGGUCAUCUAGAGUGCAGGAGGGGUAAGCGGAAUUCCUAGUGUAGCGGUGAAAUGCGUAGAUAUUAGGAGGAACACCAGUGGCGAAGGCGGCUUACUGGACUGUAACUGACGUUGAGGCUCGAAAGCGUGGGGAGCAAACAGGAUUAGAUACCCUGGUA
This 434-nucleotide ribosomal RNA is filed under the name uncultured Lachnospiraceae bacterium. Its description in RNAcentral is "partial 16S ribosomal RNA". It matches the Rfam family "Bacterial small subunit ribosomal RNA", at positions 341 to 792 of the family's 1533-position model. Lineage: Bacteria; Bacillati; Bacillota; Clostridia; Lachnospirales; Lachnospiraceae. The record is from RNAcentral.